This is a non-coding RNA of Microcebus murinus (gray mouse lemur), 8055 nucleotides long. The record is from RefSeq and is a predicted model, not a curated record. NCBI's taxonomy places the organism in Eukaryota, Metazoa, Chordata, Mammalia, Primates, Cheirogaleidae.
GUGCGCAUUGUGUGUGUUGCAUGUGUGCAUUGUGCGUGCAUUGCGUGUGUGUUGCAUGUGUGCAUUGUGCCUGAUAUGUCUGGAGCUUAUUUAAAGAGCUGGAAUUAGGAACUGUUCAGGAUUAGGAACUGUCCCCUGAUGUGGCCUCGCCCAAUCCAAGGCCUUCAGAGCUUCCCUCUCAGUGGCUGGAGCAGCUCGGGCACCCCAGGCCUCUGUCACCAGGUGGGAUGGGCCCAGGAUCUCCCAGAGAUAAUGCGGCAGGAGAGCGCAGGGCACUGGGCAGGUGGCGCGGCCCUGUCAGGGACAAAGGGCCCCUCCCCCACACCAGCUCUCCAGCCCACCUGACCCGAUGCUGGAGCAGGAUCCGAGAUGAGAUCGGCAUUCGCAGGAUUCCUCCCCGAGGCUGCGGGAAAAACCGUCACAGUCACAAAUGGGAACAAACAACCCAAACUUACAAAACUGAGAAAAACAAACUCGAGGAAAGAGACAUCUUCAUCUCAAUAGUAGUGAACCAACAGCAGAGAACACAGAAUAGUUCAGAAUGAAAAAUAUUUUUAACUCAGGACCAUUUAUCGAACAAGAUAAGCUUUUCAGUUUGAAGAUGAAACAAAAAUUGCCAAACAUGUCGAAUAGCAAACUCAGGUCACCACUGAGGGAAAAAUUGUGUGCAGAUGUAUCAGGCACCAAGCAAGAGCAAGUCUGCAAAAAACAAUGUGCGGUUUAGGAAACUAGGGUGAGCAAAGAAAUUAGUAAAACUCAUCUUUACACAUAAAAAAUCUUCGGGUAAUAACAAGUUAAUACUGAUAGAAACAUAUGAAUAUCAUUCAAGAUGGUUUUAACAUGAAUGUUUACUGUGUAAGAGAGGUCUUUUUUUUAAUCUCAUACACGAAGAAGAAAUUUAUUAAAUUUAGGCAUUCACAGGAAAACCAAAGCUUAAACAACACAAUUUAAAAUGUGUUUAAAAUGGGCAAUUUAAAAUUUGCCCAAGUUAAUUAAAUAUGCUAAAGUUUUAAGAAGAACUGACAUCAUAAAAUAAGGCAACAAAAAAUAAGCCUGGAGAUAUCCACAAGCAGUAAUGGUGGUGAACCGGUUAAACUCAACUGUUUCAAGAAAGUCCAAGAGUAGGAAAACAUCCCCCUACGUUCUGUUGAGUGAGUUAGUUUAUUACAUCGCUGUGUAAUAACCCCCCGCCCAAAAACUCAGUGGCUUGAAACAAUAGACGUGUUAUGCCACGGCACAGGUUUGCAGAGCCGGGAGUCACAGCGUGGCUGAGCCGAGCCGUCUGGUUCCGUCCCUCCCCGCUCUGCUGAAGGUGUCUUCGUGCCCAGACAUGGCGGGGAAGGCCCCACGUUCUGGGGCACUCGGCAGCUGAGGGCAGAACCCAGGUCCUCGUGUGGUGUGGCGGGACUGAGGGUCUAGCUCCUCUCGGGCCGUUGGCUGGAACACUCUGGGUUCUCCACUGAGCAGCCCUCGAGAGGCAGCGGGCUCCGUGGGAGGGCGUGCCCGGAGAGCCCCCCAGAGUGAGCGAGACCCCCGAGUGCCACACGGUCUCCUCACCGCCCACUCGUGGCCAUGGCCGUCCAUCACAUUUGUCCGAUUCUGUCCCUUAGAAGGGAGUCACCCGGUAUGACCCACACACCAGGACUUGGUCACCAGACAGUGGACCUCAUUCCUAUAUGUGGAAGGAGCUGCCUACAACAGGUGACUCGCGAAUAGGACGCAAGAAAAAGAAAACAAUCUAGCAGCAAAGGAGAAUAAGGCCGUCAAAGUAAGUAGAAUCCCAGCCAAGAGUGAUUAAAAGGGACUAAUAUGUUUUAUUAUUACACAGCAAGUUGCAUGCAUGGAAGUAAGAAUCUAGCAAGCAGGUAUAAGUAAACAACAUUUAUUCAUCUAACAAUAAAAUUCUGAGGCAGAUAAAGCAAAGGCUCAUUAGAAACACAAAGAGAAAAAUCUGAACAUUCUUGCUCAGAUCAAGUAUCCCCUGACAAGUGAGGACACACUUGGGAUUUGAAUAGCAAGCCUGAUCCUGGUACAGUUCUUGGUAUGUGUGUACAAGGAGCGGAGAGUAUAUAUUCUUUUGAAACAUGAAACAAUUUAAAAAUUUCAUAUGAAUUAAAGAAGUCCUUAAGAAUAAGUGCCACUCCCUGAUAAAAAUCACACACAUCAGCAAUGAAAGAAAAGCUCAAAACUUGGAAAUUUAAAAAGAGUCUAUCAACUAUUUAACUCUAGUAGCUCAUAGCUUAAAAAGGAAAGAAAAGUUAAAAAAAGAAUUCAUUGAGUAUAGGAAUGCUAAGAAAAAAAUGACUCUCAGACAUUCCUGGUGGGGCUGUGAAUUGCUGGACUUUUGACAAGCAAUCUGGAAACCGUUUGGCCCAAAAACCUGACUCCUGGUGAUCUAUGGCAAGUAAUAAGAAUCACCGAUACCUAAGAGAUUUUCUAAAGGACAUAGAUAUUUACAUUGCUUGACGUGGCUCAGCAUUAGAAACGAGGUGCGUGGCCACGGACAAAAUCGGAGAAGAGAGGCUGGCCCUGGCCGGGCGUGGCGAGUGCCCGGGGUCCACGUGCCCCGUGGUGAGCAGCGUCCGUGAAUCAGCGGGUCCACGGCAAGGAAGAAAGAGGAAAGAAAGGGCCCUCCCUCCCCGUGCGCGUCCAUGCGUGGACACCUGCUCCACUGGCAACGUGGGAGGCCGGAGGAGGGGCUUGGAAUUCCGUGGUUAGAGAAUUUUCCAGAAGGAUGUCAACCUAAGUAAGGUCUUGUCUGGGAAGAGUAGGGUUUCUCUUGAAUGUUGAUCUCAAAACCAAUGCAACACUGUGCUAGAAUGUUUGAGAAAACACUAAGAAGCAGGUAAGAUGAAAAAGAGGAAAAUUAGAUUGAUGAUUGUACCGUCAUUUCGUCCUGUUCCUGAAGCUCCCGCCCGCUUUCCCUCCCUCCCUCCCUCCCUUCAAUCCUCUCUUUCUUUCCUGUUAUUUUCUUUUUCGCCUCAGUUCCCUGGGCGUGGAAGAACAUCUUAGCCUCUCAUGGCAGACUCUGGUCCCCCCACGUCACUCGCUGUGUGUGCACUUACCUCUGUCACCGUGGGAGCACUGCUCGGAUUCAUCUCCCGUACGCUGAGAAGGAGGUGAGACGGCAGUAGGAGCGGAAGGUUUGCAUCCAGGAGGAAUUCUGCAGCAGGACAGAUCAAGACCAACAGGACCCGGGGAAGGAAGGCCCCAAACUAUGACAAGGGGGCUGCUGGGCUUGUGUGUCUGAUGACAAGGCCUCAGGCGGCUUUGGUCACUCCAUGCUAAGUUGGCUGGUGGCGCAGGUGACACCUGGGCCACUGGGAGCCCUGGGGUCCCAGGGCCAUGGCAGUGAGUGCAGGUGCGUCAGUGCCCACCCUCAGGGACCUGCCCCAGGGUGAGUGGCUGCCUGUGCCCCCGAGUCCCUCAGGUCCCCCCGAAAACUCCACAAGGCCCUGGGUAGGCAGGAGUCCCUGGUGCGUUGCCAUGGAAAUCCUGGAUGCUCUUGGUUCUCUGGUACCUCCCUGUCCACCUGGGGUGAGCAUGACUUAUAAGGAAUAUUCUGCUUCACUUCAAGAAGUCCCACAACCUCAUCCUGGUCCUCCAAACAGCGGGAGGAGCUGAAAAAGAGCUCAUGCAGACACGGGGGGUCUCUCUACCCGAGACCAGAGCUCUCCAACACAGCGACGGCAGGGCUGAGUGUCAGGGAGUAUUUGGACAGAAACACUGGGGUCAGUCUGGGGGCAGUCUGCCCAGCAAAGCAGUCCUGCCCCAGUACAGUGCUAUUUUGGGUUAUUUAGGGAAAAAAAUUACGUGUAAAAUACAUUUGCAUUUUCAUUGAGUCUAUCCUGCCCCAAAUCCAUUUUAGCAUGUGGUUAAAUUAAUUAUGGGAUUCCGUUCAUUUCCUUUCCUUUCUUUAAGUUUCUAGCCUCAGAAAUCAUUAACUGCUCAUUUGAAAUACAAUUUAAGAAAUAGAAAUUAUCCAUUAUGCUGGAUUAUACAUGUCUCUCCCAAAACGUUCUGGUAAGAGAAUGCAUUAUAAUAUAAUAACUUAAUCUCCAAAUGCUAGUAUCUCAAUGUUCGGAGGUAGGUAAAUAAGAAUUUGGAUGAAUUAAACUUAAUCUCCGAAUGCUAGUAGCUCAAUGUUCUGAGGCAGGUAAGCAAGAGUUUAAAUGAGAGUAAGUUGUUCCAGUGACCUACAGUCACCCUCCUGGGGAAGGCAAGUGAGGGACACUCUGGGGGGACCUGUGUCCCUGGGGCUGGUGGGAGCCGGUGGGCUGUUCACCCUGAAGCCGUGUGGUUGGUGUGUCACUCUCACCCCCUGCCCCUUGCACCUUGCACCCUGGAGCUGCGGGCUGGGUCGGGGCUGGGUGGGGACCGUCGGGCCCCGCAGUCCCUGCGCAGGGACCAGGUCUGCCCGCAGCAGUGCAGUAUGAUAAACAGUGCUAGUUACCCCGGGUAACGGGGCAAAGCUCAUGCGAAAUAAUAAAAAAGAUAAAGGCUGAGUCUUCAUGUGGUUCCUUUCCCCCUCUCUGUCCAGCCAAGGCCCAGAACCUUCCGUGCACCGAAGCCGUCCUGCCUGCAGCAUCCUUCCACCCAGGGGCCCAGCAGCACGUCGUCCCCCAGAGCUCUGGUCUGCAGUGGUGCCCGAGGCCACGUGCUGAGCCCUGAGAGUCCUCCGAGGGCGCCUGGGAGCCGGUCAGGAACACAGCUGCAGGUGCAGUCGGGUUGAGACGACGUCAUCAGCACUGGCCUGGGUCCUCACAAGAAGACACAGAGGCACCGGGAGCAGGCCACUGCGACAGGCUCGGAGGUCGGAGGGGUCCAGCUGCAAGCCGAGGAGUGCCGGGAGCGAGGACAGAGUCUACCCGGAGUUUCGGAGAAGGGGGUUGGGAUUUCUGGCCUCCAGAGCUGUGAGGAAGUCAAUUUCCGCCAUUUUCUGCCCCCCCCCCCCAUGAGUGGUCCAGCCCUAGCUGGUCGUUUGUCCGUGGCCGGGUGGAAAAUUACAUACACAGCUUUUAAAAAUGCCCAAAGGGAGUUCUGCUUAUCUUCGAUGAUGUCAAAGACCUUUCUGAAUAAAGGCCAAAUCAUUCUGACCUCCGCCCUGCACUCCCCUGCAUUUGUGCAACGCCACGCGACUCGGUUUCUCCUCGUCUCCCUUUGGGGAGGAGGCAAAACUUGAGAGAAGCUUUCUUUGUGCAGAGCUGGUUCUCCUCGAGUCGUGCGGGCCCCCGCCCUGCACGGGAUCCUGGAAGAUGCUCCCGCACCUCGUGCCUGCAGGCGGCACGGACAGGCUGGGCGGGCGGCUCCCGCUCCCGCGCUGCAGCCGCCGUCCCCAGCCCGGCUGUCCCUCCCGGCAGACCCCAUCCGGGGACGAAGGUGGCGCCCACAGCCCUCCCGAGGCAGCGCUGGAGGUGACUGCCCCGGCACGGCUCUUGGCUGUGCAGGCUUUCACUAUCUGCAUAUUUCUUUCACCUCUUAAAUGGAAUCCAAUUUGAGGCUAUUAAUAUUAAUGCGCUGAGAUAAUUCUGAUGAUGAAUUAAUAAAACACUUGGCCUCUCCAUGUGCUGUUUGCUCAUACAUUUAAUGACGCUCUUAACCGGAAAGGGGAAGAGGCUGGAGCCUGGAAGCUCCACCUGGAGCCUGGAAAGGCGAAACCACUUCAUUGUUUUGAGCGUGCUGCUUUAAUGACGAUCGAUAGAAUCGAUCAGGGAGUAGGAAAGUAUUUACUCCAUCUGGGCCGCUGUUUGGAUGGCUCAGGCACCAUCUGAACACAGUGUCUCGGCGAGGUCCUGCAUUGGCUGAUGCAUGCUCAUGCUAACUGGAUUUUUCGUGCCCACCUGGUUUUGACACCUCACAAUGACGCUGUACCCUAACAGCAGCACUGGAUGGUCCCCUCACAGGGCAGGGACGGUGGCACUGCCAGAAAUCCACAAUGUCAUCUCAGUGGCAGACCUGGAUUGACUCGCAGAGCAGACAUUACCCUUGGCCCACGCGCCUCCGAAGACAAUUCCAGGCUGGUGGUCGUUUUAUUGUUCGGAUGAAGAUAAUUUACCAUUCACACUCCGCUGGAUUAGCUAUUGAAAAGACAAUUUAGCUCCAAUUAGCUAGAUUUAGUAUUAAACUUAAACUAAUGCACUUUCACUUCGACAGUCAUUCAGCAAAUCUUUGUUAAAGUCCUCCAAUUAGGCCAUUUUCUCAGUUGAUUAAGAACAACAUCAACAAUCUAUUGUUCCUGGAACACCUCCCAAACACAGACGCGUCCCUCUCCCGUAUGCAUCCCAGCGUUCUGCGCUGUCAGGAAGAGAUGAUUGCCCAUCUUAUCAGGAAUGAAAAUUCAAGGUCUUGCAUAGAAGCCGUCAAUGUAAAAUCAACUCACAAAAGGAAUUAAAAGAAACGGGCCAAAUCCAGACUGGAAUGAGUCUUAAAAACGGAACACCCCGUGCUGAAGUGUUAGCGAGAGAGGGACACAUCCGCCGGUCUGUUCUUCGACUUGCGAAAUAGACAUUUUUAAAAGCCCAUUUAAAUUUUUAGGAGAACCAGCAGGAUGAGACAAAAUCUAUUUAGAGCUGGCUGUUCACUCCAUUUACGAGGCCUUCAUCGCAUCUAUUCUAUUAAAUGGGAGUGAGCUGCCGCAUGAGGGCAUGCCGCAGGGGUGUGCGUGCCUCCCCGUGUUCAAAGAGCAUCUGCUCCAGCCUCAGAAGGCCUGCUUGGUUUUCCUCUGCGGCGAGAUGAAAGGGAGUGAGUUUUCAUCACUGGUGACUGCGCGGGUUUGGGAGAGUGAGCAGGAACGGUGCCUGGGACCGGCACUCCGGGAGCGGUGAGCAGUGCGUGCGCCUUCCCGCCGGGAGGACCUGCAGGGGACGGUUUCUGGCGCGCGACAGCCGCAGCCCAGCAGCCAUCUGCAAUGGUGACUUGGAGCGGCCCCCUCCCGUGAGAACUGCAACCUUAACAAAGCUAGCGUCACAGAAAAUAUACUUUUGAGAAUGUGUUCAUGGUAAAUGCUUCAAAUGUCACCUAAGCCAGGAAAUAGCUGCACACACACGUGUGUGCACACACAUGACUAUGUGCAGUGUAUGUGUGUCUGCGUGUGCCUUAUAUACUUUCACGUAUAUAAGGUGUAUAUAUGCUACAUUAUAUAUGCCUUUGCAAUCAGGAAAUGCAAUUACAAUGCUGUAUGUGUUUGUUAGUCAUGUAACCUCUGCAAACCAUGCUUUGAAUUAUUGUAAUACGGCACUUUUCUGUCUCCUUACAAAUUUAGCCAUACCAAAAGAUUAGAAAACCACACACGAUGUGAAACAGUAAAAAAAAAAUGUAUACAUCAGUAGUGUAAAACAUGCACAUAUCAGGCAGGAUCUGAGCUGCGAAGCGCACAGGAAUCUCGCCUGUUUACAGAGCCAUCACGGGGCGGCUCCCACACGCCGGUCACGCCUCGCUCUAAAUCACCAGCCCACAUUUCUCACCUGCAAACAGCCGAGGCUGGCAACGUCAGUCGGUUUUCCAUUGCUCGUUCUAAUUAUUUCCACCCCAUGCAGAGCAUUUAGGAAAUUGAAAUAUAACAGUAGUGACAUGUGCAGACUUUGUGGUCAGUGUCUGGUUUGCAAACAAAAGCACAAGAGCCGAGCACAAUCGGACUCUGCCCCGCAGGCCUCACUCAGCAGUGACUGGCGGAUUCAAAGAAACAGUCCUGCAGGCCAGUUGGGGAACCGAAUGAACUGCUUUGGGGUGAAAUUCGGGAUCCCGUGGAACAGCGUCACCAGGAACCUGACACACGCACGCACACACACGCACGCACGCACACACACACACACACACACACACACACACACUACGCACAGUCCAGUUGCUGCAUCUCGCGCUGAAGGUGCCCCCAGCGCCGUGGGGUUAGCUGGCUCCAGCCGGCCGCCCCGAUGGCGGCUCACGGAUGGCCCUCCGUCAUCCCCUGAGUGCUGGGCCCCUCUUCCAAUAACAGCUCCGUUUCCCACGGAGCCUUAAAUACGUGGAUACAUAAAUGAAAUGUGAUGAAGUAAAAUAAAAGUAUUUUUUUCAGCCGUC